UGAAAAGUUGAAGGAAGAUAUGGAAGCAGAGAUUGAUGAUGAUGAAGAGCCUUUAGUUUACGAGAGUUGGGAUACUGAUUAUGCAACUGAGGCAUACAGACAACAGGUUGAGACUUUGGCAAAGCAUCAGUUGAAGGAGGAGCUGGAAGCUGAAGCCAAAGAGAAAGAGCUUGCGGAAUAUGAGAACUCCAUGGGGCAUACAUCUUCUGUUCCAAAAACCAAAUCGAAGAAGAAGGCGAAGAAAACAAAGUUCAAAUCUUUGAAAAAAGGAGGUCUAGCUUCUGAACGGCAAUCUUUGAAGGAAGAGUCUUCUAUAGAGUUGAUGCCCAUAGAUGAUGAUAAUCUAUCCAGUGAGCCAGUUACGACGCCGGAUUCUGCUCAAGAGAAGAAGCGUAAACUUCCAAGAUAUGAUGAGGAUGUGAAAGGCGCCAAGAAGUCUAAAAAAAUGAAAAAGUCCUCUGAGGUAUCUUCUCUGGUAAUACAUUCAACAUAUCUUGGAAAGAGGCAGGUUGAAUCUAAAGAAUUGAAACAGUAUGAUGUUGGCACGAUGAACAUUGAACUCAAACCAAUAAGCAGAAGCAAGAUGGGAGGGAAAGUCUUAGUCAGUCCAAUACCUGUUAAACGAGUCUUUUCUAUUAAAUCAGAAAGGCCAAUUAGGAAAGGUAAAACAUGGUCUAAAGAUUAUUUUCCAUCAGCUGAUUCAUGGUUGCAACAAGAAGAUGCAGUACUUUGUGCUUCUGUUCAUGA
This 747-nucleotide unclassified non-coding RNA is filed under the name Hevea brasiliensis (rubber tree). Lineage: Eukaryota; Viridiplantae; Streptophyta; Magnoliopsida; Malpighiales; Euphorbiaceae. The record is from RNAcentral.